Sinocyclocheilus grahami is the source of this 204-nucleotide long non-coding RNA. RefSeq lists it as uncharacterized. The record is from RefSeq and is a predicted model, not a curated record. The transcript is spliced from 3 exons. Lineage: Eukaryota; Metazoa; Chordata; Actinopteri; Cypriniformes; Cyprinidae.
CUCUUUAUAUUUUAAACAUUUGAAGGUCAGACGCGGAACGAAAACAACUCAGAAAAAAGAGGAGACUAGAAAGAGCAGAGGCAAUGGAAGCCCCCCCACCUCUUGAUUACUUGACCACGAUGCCACUGGAGAUCCUCGGGCAGAUCCUGUUGAGAGUGGUCUCAGACGACGGAGACAUGGCCUUUAUGAGACUUUCUCUCACGU